This 502-nucleotide ribosomal RNA is filed under the name uncultured bacterium. RNAcentral describes it as "partial 16S ribosomal RNA". It matches the Rfam family "Bacterial small subunit ribosomal RNA", at positions 30 to 523 of the family's 1533-position model. The record is from RNAcentral.
AUUGAACGCUGGCGGAAUGCUUUACACAUGCAAGUCGAACGGCAGCACGGGUGCUUGCACCUGGUGGCGAGUGGCGAACGGGUGAGUAACAUAUCGGAACGUGCCCAGAAAUGGGGGAUAACUAACCGAAAGGUUAGCUAAUACCGCAUACGCCCUGAGGGGGAAAGCGGGGGAUCGAAAGACCUCGCGUUAUUGGAGCGGCCGAUAUCUGAUUAGCUAGUUGGUAGGGUAAAGGCCUACCAAGGCGACGAUCAGUAGCUGGUCUGAGAGGAUGAUCAGCCACACUGGGACUGAGAAACGGCCCAGACUCCUACGGGAGGCAGCAGUGGGGAAUUUUGGACAAUGGGCGAAAGCCUGAUCCAGCCAUUCCGCGUGAGUGAAGAAGGCCUUCGGGUUGUAAAGCUCCUUCGGCAGGAACGAAACGCUCUAGAUUAAUACUCUGGGGUAAUGACGGUACCUGAAGAAGAAGCACCGGCUAACUACGUGCCAGCCGCCGCCGUAA